This is a long non-coding RNA of Panthera uncia (snow leopard), 3697 nucleotides long. RefSeq lists it as uncharacterized. Lineage: Eukaryota; Metazoa; Chordata; Mammalia; Carnivora; Felidae. The record is from RefSeq and is a predicted model, not a curated record. The transcript has 6 exons.
GCCCUCCAGGUAUGUUCACACCCAUAGCCAAUGGUCGUGAUGAUGACAUGAACAUGCCCACCCUCACAGAGGGCUUUGUGCCAUUCAAAGAUUCCAGGUCAGAAUUCGAAUUACAAGUGGCCACCUGUGUCAUCAGCAUUGUGACAAGCCCUCCUGUGCCUUCUCAGUUCUUCUCCCAGCCCACUGAUGGAUGGUCAUGUUCCCCUCCCACAGACAGCAGGAUCCUGCCAGGAGCCCAGGCUCAGCAGAGAGAUCCUCACCAUCCCUCAUGUUAUCACCAUGACAGCUCAGAGAGAGCCCCAGUGACCUGUGUCACAAUAGGAUCUUGUAGACAUGACUGUGACCUCCAAGCCUGGGUCAUAAAAGACAAUAACCCUGCCAGGCUGUCUCCGAGAGCAGCCGGCCACCAUGCCCUGCAGAUGCCCAAGCAGUCCUGUGGAGAGCCAUGUAUGGAGAGGAACCAGCCGUGUGAGGGAUUGCCUGGGAAGGGAGUCUUCCGGCCCCAGCCACACCUUCAGAUGAGACCACAGCCCCAAACACCCACCCAACUGCUCCCAAAUUGCUGACCCCCAGAAACCAGGAGAGCUCAUAUGUGUUGAUCGUUAUACGACUGUAAGCCUUGGAGUACCUGGUUGGGCAGGAGGAGGCAGCUAGCGGUUCUGCCCCCUGAUGAUGAGACGGGACAAUCCAUAUUGUCACCUAUAUGCACCCCACACAUGCACACAGAAGUUUUUAAAUGGGACUGUGCAUCACCAUAUUUAAGCUAACACCAGCUGCUAUCUUAAAUAAAUCCUAAAGUCUGCACAGCUAACACAAGAGGGAGGACGUUGUGGAGGACACGACGUGUCUGGUGGUUCUCCUCCAAGCAGGAAUUAUGGACCCAAGACCUCUCUCCCCUGCUGGCUCUCCAAUUCAGUCCGAAGAUGGGGACAGAGACCACGGGAAGGUCACAGCACUUCUAAACCCUCUGGACUGGAAGUGCCACUUGCUGGACCCACUCAUGUUCCACUGGUGAGAGAGGGGACACUGCAAGUUGCAGGGGAGAGAUGAGGCCGAGCCCUCCUGGGGAGACCCAGUGCACCGGCAGGGAAGAACCCCGGGCACCACCUCCCAGGGCGGAAGAAGGGGAGCCCGCGCCUGCAGCAGGUGCGGCUGAGCCCCUGACGCCCUGAGAGGCUGCACGACAAGACUGGAGACAGGGAAGCUCUCAUCCAAGUUGGAACAUGAAGAGGAGAGUUCCCCUCGGGAUCUUUCUGGAUGCAGAUCCUACAUUGCUGGAGGUUUACCUCAGAAGAGAGCCCAAGAAUGGAACUUCUGACUUGUUGUCCUGUAAUGUCCUCCCUGGAGGGAAGGUCUGCAUGAGGGACAAGAUGGUUCUUCCACGUGGCUGUGGGUGGCUGUGGGGCCUCCAGGCAGGUGCUGCUCUGCCCUCAGCGGUGUCCCUGCUCCGCGCCCGUCCUCCCUUCUCCUGGUGUCUGUGAAACAAGCAGAGAAAUGGAAGAGCCGGUGAAACUUGGAAGGGAAACUUGGAAGGGAAGCACGUGUCCCUUUACGUGCUUGGGACCGUCAGACCUGACGCUCACGGGAUCGCUAUUGUGAGUGUGGACAGAGGAAACACCCACGGGCACUAAAAGGCUGUUGGCACGAGUCAUUGCUAACAGUCACAGAAUCUGCAGUUUCAGGGCCUGGAUCAGGUUAGGGUUAGCCCUCCUGAGACACACCAACACGUCUAACGGCCCCUCUGCCCAUAAAGGUUCACGGUGGCUGGGAAGUCACCGCUUCCACCCGACGGACGGUGAUAGCACCUCUUGAACCCACCUGCUCAGAGCAGCCCAGGUGGCAGGGACCCGUUUCCAGCCUGGCCUCCCUACUCCACACAGCACCUGCUCUCCAGCGUCUUCCCUGUUUCUGAGUCUCUCCUCGCUUUCCGUCUGCCUUUCCGUCCCCUGUCCCUGACUUCCUGCCGAGUAUUCCUACAAGCCAACAGUUCAGCUCGGGCAGGGGGAGGUAGGUGGCCAGGAGAGGCUCGCCACACUCAAUGAAUUUCGGGGCAUUCCGGCUAUUUCCUCCCAGCCCAAAAGACUGCCCAGCUCCCUGGGAGCAUCCUGGCUGUUUACUGGCAAUGAGGGCACUGUUGAAAUCAUCGUUAUUUUCAAAUAACAAGUAUUGAUGAGGAUGUGGAGAGCAAGGAACCCUCCUGGUGGGAAUGAAAACUGGUGUAGUCACUGUGGAGAACACUAUGAAGGGUCCUCAAAAAGUUAAACAUAGAACCACCCAAUGGUUCAUAAUUCCAGUCCUGGGGAUUUACCCGAAGGGAAGGAAAUCGCUGUCUGGAAGAGAUCUCCGCACCCCCACGUUCAUGGCAGCAUUGUUCACAAUGGCCCGUCAUGGAAACAGGUUCAGUGUCCAUCCGGCGAGUGAUGCCUUUAUGAAGGAAUAUUGCUCAGCUGUAAAAAAGAACAGGCAGAUGUGGAGGACGUUAUGCUGAGUGAAAUCAGCCAGACACACAAGGAAAAGGCUGCGUGGUCUCACUUACACGUGGAAUCUGAAACAGGCAGAAGUCGAGUCUUACGUGUGUGGAGCCCCUGGCACCCCACUCGGGCCUGCCGGGGCCCAGGGAAAUCAGCGGGGACCUGCUUACCAAGCACAGAAUCGUGCAAAACAACACAUGCCGUGGCCUCCAUCUGGGCAUCUCCGUGGUUUGGAUGCAGUGGUGGUGGCCCCAGCAGCCCCCUGAGAUGCAACGCAACGUCCCCGGUCAGCAGGGGCAGCCACCAUAGUCCUCAGUGAUCCAGCCCAGGGCCCAUCAGCGCUGUGGCCGAGACUUGGGCUGCAGAGGCUGGAAUGUGGCGUCUGAACAGCCUGCUGUGCACAGAGAAGGAAGAACAUGAAAACGUGAGCAAUGAAGCCAACAAUAACCCAUCAUUUAAAUCCUGCUUCUCACACUUGUCUUGGAAACAAAAGUGAUCCAAGGAAUUCAUGCCCAGUCUCCACCCAACAGAACCCUGCUGAGGCAUCGAUGGCCUUGCAGAUCCUCUCCAGCAGGGCCUCCCAGGCUGGUGUGGUUCCUCCACCAGAAACGUGAAAUCUUCUGUCACCAUAUACGUUUGGGAAAUGCCGGGAGCAUCUCCUCGGGAUUCAGCCCCCAAACGGAUGGGCAUGCGCACUGGGCAGGACCCAGCAGCGGAAGCUGAGUGCCAAUGUGAGUGUAAGCGGUCGGGCCACCUGGCAAGCAUCUGGCAGCUUCUCCUGGAGGGAAGCACUCACCUGGCCUAUUAACUGGGACAACUGAAAAUACAUGCCCCCCACCCCCGCCAAGGCCACCUGCCCCUGUUUGGACAAUCACCUGUCUGGACAAGGAGGCCAGCACAUCCUGCAUGUUGGUGGUCGGGGGGGGGGGGGGACUCAAGCCCCGGAGUGUCAAGGGCACAACGCUGGCUGCCAUCCACCUCUGCCCACUGGGAAUGCUCCGGGGAGGGGCCUCUAACCAGACUUGAUAGACAGAACAUAUAGACUGCACACUUUUGUGUGGACUCUUGACACUCAGAACCAUGUCUCAGAGAUUCAUCUGUUUCCUGGCGUGGACCCUUCAUUUUCUGUGGCUGAGUGGUGUUCUACCAUGUGAACACUCCGGGAUUCCUUUGUCCGCUUGGAUGGUUCUUAAUUUGAGGUUACAAUAAAGCUGCUAUGAACAUUC